Molecule: long non-coding RNA, 7135 nt
Organism: Mus musculus (house mouse)
Lineage: Eukaryota; Metazoa; Chordata; Mammalia; Rodentia; Muridae
Product: predicted gene, 54152
Exons: 2
Source: RefSeq, a predicted model, not a curated record
UUCUCGUCAGGGAGGCCUUUACACUGGGAGAAUUGGGAAGAAAGAAGUCUUUAUCCCAGGUUAAAAGACAGUCACCAAUAAAUACCAGAAUUCACAAUGUAAGCCCCAUAUAGAAAGCUGGGAAGCUUUGAUGACAAUAUUCAGGGGUGUGUGUGUGUGUGUGUGUGUGUGUGUGUGUACACUUGCAUCAGAGAUCAGUGUAAGGUGUUUUCCUCGGUUGAUUUCCACUUUUUUUUUCUCUUUUUCUUUCUUCGUUUCUUUGUUUUUUGGUUUUGUUGUUGUUGUUUUUGAGACAGCACCUCUAGCUGGGCCUGGAGCGGCUUACAGGUUUGGCUAGAGUUGCAAUGUAUGAAGACCACCAUGUCUACCUCCUCAGCCCUGGGUUAGAAGUAUGCAUCACCACACCCAGCUUUUAAAUGAGUGCUAGGAACCAAGAUCAGGUCCUGUUCAUGCACACGUGUUACCAACUGAGUUACCUUUCUAUUCCACAGGAAGACUGUUCUGAGGGCUUAAUUUAGCAUUUUUAAAUGAAAAUCUUAUUUUAAUGCCAAGAUAAGUCUUUUAAUGCCAAGAAAAGGUGAGUCACACAGCAUCUAUAGCAAAAACAAAAGAGUAUGAUGCUAAUAGAGACACCUGGAAAGAAGUCACAGAGCAGACACCAGAGUCACACAGCAUCUCCAGCAAAAACAAAGAGUGUGCUGCUAAUGGUAAUAACUAGAGAGAGGUCGCAGGACAGACACCAACUGCAAUGGAAGCAUGAAUGGAUAAAAUUGGUACACGCUGUAUUCAGGACUUGGCUGAUACUGGAGGGACUGCCUUCCUUAUGACUCAGCAGUUCCCAGAAAUUGUGAAUGAAUGGCUUACCUGCAAACAGACCUUCCAUAUUCAACCAUCCUUCCUGCAUAUGCCUGGCCUGCUCAUUUGGCCUUGUGCAUUCAUUCCCAUGAGAACCACGGGGAAUGCUUCUGCCUGUUUCCCCAGCUCCUGCCAUUUGACACAGGUAAGUUUUCUUGUGUAGCCCUCCCUGCUUGGCACUGUGCCUCUUGUGUCUGGGGUGUGUGUGUGUGUGUGUGUGUGUGUGUGUGUGUGUGUCAUUUUGAGUAUAAAAGCUAAUUUGCUGUGGUGGUCAUUUUUAUGUCUAUGUCUUAAAUAGAAAAAAAUAUCGGUAUCUAAUCUUGAGAUGAUUAUGUAUCUGAAAUAUUUACUAAAGAACAGUUUCCAAGUUUUAUUACUGUUUUUUAAAAGAUUUAUAUAUGUAUGGGCAUUUGGCCUGCAUGUAUACACAUAUGCCACCUGGGUGCCUGGUAUCCAAGAAGGUGCCAUUAAUCUAGAUCUGGAGUUAACAGUUGUGGGCCACCAGGUAGGUGUUGGGAAUCAAAGCUGGAUCCUCUGGAAGAGCAGUCUGUGCUCUUACCCUCUGAGCCACCCUGCAAGUUGUUCUAUGACUUCCACAUGUGCUCCCUGGCACGGACGUGCAUGUGUAUGUACACUAAAUAAAUGAAUGAGUGAAUAAACAAAAUGUAAAAAAUGCAUAUUGUUUUGAGCAAUGUUAUUUUUAUUUUUCACCCAUGAGAAUGUAAUGCAGCUGUAUGGGUCCCUUGCUAAAAGACUUCUGGAUGCUAGAUCUAGGAUCAUACACUGGGGAAGUGAGCUUAUAUCAAAGUGAGUAUUGGUACCACCCAUCCUGCUCUGAACUCUCUUCCCUGCCCCUGCCUGAGAACCAGCCGGGCUGUAGGCUCAUGCUGUGAAAUGUGUAAGAAGAGACUCCCAUUUUCUGCCCUUCGGGCUCUUAUUUCUGUCUUCACAGCCCCUGUUAUGCUGUUGUCUGUCUGUCCAUGGCAUUAAAAUUACAGCCUCAAGGAACCAUGUCUGUCUUGGUAUCCAGUAUCAUAUCUAAGACCUUUCAUUCACAAUUGACAGUAGUUUUAACAUCCAAGUCUUACAGUAGGUAAGACUGUCACAAUGAGACCUUAUUAUUAGUCAGUGUGUUACUGCAGGGUCUGAUGGACUCAGGCUGAACUAAAACUUUUAUAACUCUUUUAUGAUGUGUAAUGUAUAUCAACAGAAGAGCUGUUAUAGGAAGGCAAUUAAUGAAAAUGACUCAUCUCCAGAAUUGAGGCAUAUUAAAUGGCUUAAUAUUUUGGGAUGAUGCUAUGAGACAGUCUCAUUUAGCCCAAGCAGACCUCAAGCUCAUUAUGUAACCAAGGAUGGCCUUGAACUUCUGCCUCUACCUCUUAAAUGCUGGGAUUAUAAGUGUGUACUGCCACUCCAGUUGAUAGAUGAGCUGACCUUAGCACAUGCUUCCUGCUGGUGGUUUUCCUGUUUUCACCCAUUGUAUCUUUGUUGAGAGAGGGUCUUGUGUAGCCUGAAUAGACUUGAACUUACUAUGGAGCCAAAGCAGACCUUGGACUCCUGAUCCUCCUGUCUCUACUUCCAAGUGCUGAGAUUAUAUGGCCCCCAUGCCCAGCCUGAUUGAUUGCUAUUAAUGUACAGCCCAGAAAUCAGUGAUAGGAAUCCAUCUAAGAACUGAGCUGUCGGCUGAUUUUGUCUUUGUGUGAACAUUACAGAGUGUGCCUCCACAAACGAAGAUGUCUGUGCUGUCAUUACAUGAUUACUUUUAUGGAGCCACAAUCACAUACGAAGUCUGUCACUGUCCAAAAUGUCACUGCGCACCAUGUUUUAAAAAAUAGUUGGCUUUUUCAUUAGAUAUGAUUAAUAUAAAAACGGAGGAAAUUGUCAAAAUUUACACACUUAUAAAGAAAGGGUGUCAGUCACUUGUGCAGAAUGCUAACUACCUUUGAAGUGUUGUGAGCAUAGUAGUGCCACUGCAGUAAGGACCCGUGUUCUGAGGGGAGGGACCAGUGACCACUCUAGGGCAGUAAAUCAUUAAACAUAUACACAUGACUCCCCUUCCAUCCCUAUGCAUCCCCAAGCUGCUUCCUACCUGGAGAUGAUGCUGAGCUGGCUGCUCAUGGUUUGAAUCUGUUCCACCAUACACAGAAGCUCCUGAGAGCAUCUCUGAUCUAUGCAGUUCUUAGCAAUGAUGUGAAUGAGUCUGGUGAAGUCUUUUCCAGAAGCUGAGACUUUCCUGGCAGAGGCAAUGAGCUGAUCUUUGGUCUAUAUCAGAGAUAAAAAUGUUAAAAGUAGGAAAACCCUGGCUUCAUAAGUUUCUCCUGAGACUCCAGGGACAAAUCACAAUGCUUGCCCCAAGCUUUCUUGGCUCAACCUACUUCUGCAUGAAAGUGUACUCAUUUUAGCUUGAGCCAGCUCUAAGAGCUUUUUCUCUUGCAUUGGAAAAAACCUGGCUGAACAAGAAACAAUCUCCUUCCUUGUGUGGGGGCUGAGGAAAGCCAGGCCACCCAGCUUCCAUUUAGUACCAAAAUUUUAGUACUGUUAAGAUAUUCAUGUGGAUUGUACAAGAUGCAUAGAUCAGCUAAGGAUGAAAUUUUGCUCUUUGUUUAAGCAGGUGAAAGACAACUGUCUUUUUGUGAGUUAAUUUUAUCAAUAACCAAUUGUAAUAAAUCUUCAUGUCAUAUGAAGAAGGGUGUGAAGAAUCUUAAGGAUUCCAUAGCCAACAAAAUUUAUUGUCUCAUGUUAGCUGAAGCUUUGGCUAGAGACAUUUUUAUGUCAAAGCCAGUUACUGGCUGUUCCCUUGUCGAGGACUCAGCAGAUCAAGUUACCUAUCCUGUUCGAUUUUCUCAAAUUUUUCUUUUCUGUAGCCAAGAUCUUCAGGGGGUCUUCCCCCCGUCAUAUCCGAUCCAUAUCACUCUGGAAGGGGUCCAAAGUCUUAUCUCAUUUCCUGUCAACACAAAUACAGAGCCUCUCUCCCAAAAAAGCAUGUUCUUGGUCUAGUAACUGAAAAUCACUAAAGGUAUAGAAUGAAAUUAAUAGUAUGACAUCUCCCCCAAAGGAUUUUUAAUAUCAUAAAUACCAUCAAACUUAUAAUCAUCUUCAUCUUGAUAAUUAAACGACUCAAAGCAACUAAAGCAAUUAAACAAAUAUUAUCUGUUGAGAUAGCGCUCCUCCACUAUCUCCUGGAUUUGUUUUUUUUUUUAUAUGAUUAAUUUUUAAUAGUGAGAUCAAGGCCUAUGUUUCUAUGUCUGAGAUGGGUUAGGCUUCCUACCCCCUGCUUUUCAAUCUAUAAUCAAAAGCAUCAAUUAUUUAUUCCUCUAAGUAUAUUUAAAUCCUUCCUUCUAUGGAGGUAAAUAUUUGUGUGGGUACAUAUGUCCCCUUCUCUUUAUGUAACAAGUUAACAUAAAUUUCUUUAUCUGUCUGAGAUAAUUUUUUCCACUUAUCCCCUGCUCUUUGACCUAUAAUUUAAGAUCAAAAGCCUUCAUAAUCUAUUCAUCUAUGCACUCAGCUUUAAUUAAAUUCCCUUCUACUUGCUGUAUAAGCCUAGUUUCAGGCUCUACUUUUGUCAUACCAAGUUGAACAAUCCCAGAAUUCCUGUGUAGAAUCUGAGUAUUUGCCGUGGCAUAGACUUUUUCAAAUUUCUUAUAAUAUAUUUUCCUCAUUCCUUUUAUUCUCCCUCCUUGCCUUUAUUUCCUACAUUUGAGAUCAAAGGCCCCGACUUCUUUAUUCCAUACUUAAGAACAUUUAAGCAAUUACCGUUAUACUCCUGUCUAUCCUUAAAAACAAUUAAAUCAAAAUUUAUUUCUCCCUAACCUUUGAUUAUUUGCUUGUAGGAAGCAGGCAGUGUCCACUGUCUGAAUCUCUAUCUCCCGAGCAGCCUGUCUGUCUGGACAGCAUGGAUUCCCAGAACCUGAGGUUAAGCUCUCUGGGGCAGCUAGGAACCUUGAGAAGGGCCCAGACACUGUCUAGGGAUGACAGUGAUGACCAACCUCCUACUACCAUGACCUGAAGAAGAUCAAGUACCAGGACUUGCCCACUCUUCCUCAAGCUCCGAGCCAUCAGGAGCACCUCAGUGGCCAUCUCUUGUGUGAUCUGGGUGAUUCUGUUCUCACUGUCUGCACUGCUGUCCUCUGGAGCAGGCUGGUCCAUCUGAGCAGGAGGCAGAGAUAGGCUGCCACUCUGGUGCUGAAAGAAGGCAUUGGGUUAGAGGUUUCGAGCAACACAAUUCCUAAUACCAAGGCCUCUAAACUGCAGUGAGGAUGUUAAUUGCCUCUGUGUGUAUGUGUGUCUCUGUGUGUGUGUGUGUGUGUGUGUGUGUGUGUGUGUGUCUGUCUGUCUGUCUGUCUGUAUGUAUGUGUUUGCACACAGGUGGAGGCCAGUGUUCCUCAGGAGCUGUCUACUUUGUUUUUUUGAGAUAGGACCUACCAUUGGGCUGGAACUCUCUGAUAAGGUUAGGCUAGCCAACUAGGGAUUUGCCCAUUUCUCCCUCCCCUGUGCCAGGAUUGCAAGUGUGUAACACAUCUGUGAAUCCGGGUUUUAAAUCUGUUUGUGCAGUAGGUACUUUAUCAACUGAGCCAUCCCCUAGUCUCUUAAUGGGUUUUAAAAUCAUUUUAAAAGAAAGACGCAGGGAAUCAGAUGGUGGUGGGCAGAGGCUUUUUCUAGAUAGCACCACUGUCCAGCCUGUCAGGAGUUGAGGAGACAGGUAGGUUAAGAGGAGGAGGAGGAGGAGGAGGAGGAGGAGGAGGAGGAGGAGGAGGAGGGGGGGGGGGGGAGGAGGAGGAGGAGGAGGAGGAAGAGGAAGAAGAAGAAGAAGAAGAAGAAGAAGAAGAAGAAGAAGAAGAAGAAGAAGAAGAAGAAGAAGAAGAAGAAGAAGAAGAAGAAGAAAAUAAUCGAGAGUUGUUGAGCAAGAAUUUAACAGCAGUGACUAAUGACCAUGGAGAAGGGACAUGAUGGUCUGGAGUUAGGAGUGAGUGUGCAGGUGAGAAUGAGGCUGGCCUCCAUAAGCUCAUGUGUUUGAAUACUUAAUACAAGUUAGUGGAACUUGUGGGGGAAUGGUGAGGAGGUGUGGGCUUGUUGAAGAUGUGUGUAUUUCACUAAAUGUGUCACUUUUGAGGUUUCAAAACAUUCCUAGCGUGCUCUCUGCCUCCUACUUGCAGAUCAAGAAGUGAGCUCUCCAAGGUUUUUGUCACCAUACCUAUUCACUCAUGGACCCUAACCCUCUAAAACCAUAAGGCCAAUUAAAUACUUUCUUUCUCAAGUUGAUUUGGUCAUGAUGUUUAUCUCAGCAAUACAAACCCCAACUAAUAUGGUGAGGAAACUAGGAAAUGGCCUUUUAGACAACUACUAGAGAGUCUAAGCAUCCAGAUCUAGCCAUGACAGCAAGCUUUGUGUUAGAGAUUCCAGAAGUGAAGUACUUCCUGCUGGUGUCCUUUCAGGAGUGAGAAUGGGGCUUAAAGAGUGUGGUGUUCUCUUGUUCUCAGAGUUUCUGACCUGAGUGGCCAACACCAUCCUGCUCUGUAACCCUCCUUACAGCUAUGGGAGACGCUUCUGGUGCAUUGACAGAAACAGAAGGCAAGUAAGUGAGUGGGUGACUCUAAGUGUGUGCUUAAGACUCUAUGGAAAACUAGAGAUGAGGAGAAGGAGCCUGCAAGCUAUUCACAUUUAUAAGACUGAGAGAUGAGCAGACAAGCCUAGAGCACUGGGGAACGCUAUGUUAUUCUCCCUGUUACUUUGGUCACAGGGUCCCCUUUUGUGGAAGUGACAUUUUGGUGAGAAAAAAGUAAGAAAGGAUAAUAAGGGCAAGGGUAAAAGCAUGGCGUGGUGUGAUCAGAAUUAUAUUGGGAAACACCCUAUAGAGUUUUGGAAUCUUCUGUAGAUGAGGUGACUCAUCUAUAAAAUCCUGGCUUGUCGUGUGAAGAGAAUUCUGAGUGCUUGCGAGAAAACCCCAAGAAAAGCAAAACAAGAGUCUUGUGGCCUUGGUUUCUUCAAAAACGCAGAAUUGUCCCUGGAAUGUGAUUUCUUGCUCCUCAGUGGAGAGGCAAGAAUUACUCAUUACAAGUGGCCACUGUUACAGGUUUGCAUGCCUCUAUGAAAAAGCACGAUUGUGCCCCCUGUAGCUUGUCCUUGUACUUGUAUAGAGCUAGAGCACAUGAGGACUUACUCAUGCGACCUUCUUAGCCCUCAGAGUAUAAACUGUCUGAUGCUCUAAAUAAAGUUAGCUAGUGCCUGAGACUUUAUGACUUUGGUUAUGGUCAGAAGAAAUACACAAAAUAUUUCAAAUCCU